RNAcentral lists this long non-coding RNA (442 nucleotides) under Drosophila guanche. Lineage: Eukaryota; Metazoa; Arthropoda; Insecta; Diptera; Drosophilidae. The record is from RNAcentral.
AUUUGUUUAACUUAUAUGAAGGCCAGUUGCUUCAUGUUGCCAAUACACAGACCGGGCUGGGCUGCUAAGAAACGGAAACCACAGGAUCGUGCCGUGGAGGGGCGAAGGCUGCGAUAUGGACUCAAAACUAUCCAAUUUUGAAUAGGUGCUUGGAUGCGUUGUUUUACAACUUUGCCACGGGCGCACAUAUUCCUUGGCACGGCCCUGCUGUUUAAUCAAAGAUGUCGUCGCUUAUUUCGUUGAUUGUGCUCCUCCUCCGAUCAUGCAAGAGCCGCCAGUCUCACUAAAAUAAUCUCCUGCAUGGAUCCAUUUUGCAUUCAUUGUUUUAUUAACCUUUUAUUCAAUUUUCACACAUUUUCAAAAAGGCAAACAAAACAACAAACGUGUAACCGCACGGAAUGCGGGUUUCACCUCUGGUCACACUCUGGUGCUGGCAAAAUAU